CUCUUUCUUAAACAGCCAUCACAAGACAUUCACAGUUCAGGGUGUGAAGCAGGUACAAUCUCGCCAAAGCAACUGGAAAUCUGAGAAGAGACAAGACACACACAUAAACGAAUAUCCUACAAACUCUUUGAAUGCAGUUACUUUCAGCCUGUAUUGCUUCACGCAUCGAGACCACACAUUUCCUAGGAGUGAAGGCAAGCCGUGUCCUCACAGCACCUCAUACACCUCUUCUCUAGCAAUAGAUGGAGAUAAUUCCUGCCUGUCUUAGUCUUCAUUGUCUGCUGAAAACUGCUGUGAAUAAGAACAUUCACCUUUCCCAGGUCAAGCAACUGUUGCACUUCAGUCCAUUCUAUAAUCAAACAGAGCCACAAAACAUCAUGCCAGGACCUGAGCUCUGUGCUGUCCACAUACAACCCUUUUAUCUGGGGAGCAGCCUGGCACGGCGACAAAGAGCCCAGGACCGUGAGGCUGACUCCUGGGUCACACACCUGCGAAUGAACACCACUCUCCUUGUUCUCCUCUAAAUUCAGACCUCAGAAUGGAGUCCACAGACCUUUGAGUCUUCAAACAAAUGAUUAAGU
RNAcentral lists this long non-coding RNA (581 nucleotides) under Rhinopithecus bieti (black snub-nosed monkey). Its description in RNAcentral is "lncRNA (ENSRBIG00000046272.1)". Lineage: Eukaryota; Metazoa; Chordata; Mammalia; Primates; Cercopithecidae. The record is from RNAcentral.